GCGGUAGCUACCAUGCAGCCGAGCGGUAUUGUUUCUUCGGAACGAGAGAGCGGCGCACGGGUGCGGAACACGUGUGCAACCUGCCUUUAUCUGGGGGAUAGCCUUUCGAAAGGAAGAUUAAUACCCCAUAAUAUUUUGAAUGGCAUCAUUUAAAAUUGAAAACUCCGGUGGAUAGAGAUGGGCACGCGCAAGAUUAGAUAGUUGGUAGGGUAACGGCCUACCAAGUCAGUGAUCUUUAGGGGGCCUGAGAGGGUGAUCCCCCACACUGGUACUGAGACACGGACCAGACUCCUACGGGAGGCAGCAGUGAGGAAUAUUGGACAAUGGGUGAGAGCCUGAUCCAGCCAUCCCGCGUGAAGGACGACGGCCCUAUGGGUUGUAAACUUCUUUUGUACAGGGAUAAACCUAUUUACGUGUAAAUAGCUGAAGGUACUGUACGAAUAAGCACCGGCUAACUCCGUGCCAGCAGCCGCGGUAAUACGGAGGGUGCAAGCGUUAUCCGGAUUUAUUGGGUUUAAAGGGUCCGUAGGCGGAUCCGUAAGUCAGUGGUGAAAUCUCAUAGCUUAACUAUGAAACUGCCAUUGAUACUGCGGGUCUUGAGUAAGGUAGAAGUAGCUGGAAUAAGUAGUGUAGCGGUGAAAUGCAUAGAUAUUACUUAAACCACCAAUUGCGAGGGCCGGUUACUAUGUCUUAACUGACGCUGAUGGACGAUUUCGUGUUUUUCGAACUA
Molecule: ribosomal RNA, 730 nt
Filed under: Chryseobacterium sp. P14
Lineage: Bacteria; Pseudomonadati; Bacteroidota; Flavobacteriia; Flavobacteriales; Weeksellaceae
Description: bacterial SSU rRNA
Rfam family: Bacterial small subunit ribosomal RNA
Source: RNAcentral